This 1204-nucleotide long non-coding RNA is filed under the name Cyanistes caeruleus (blue tit). RNAcentral describes it as "lncRNA (ENSCCEG00000009234.1)". Lineage: Eukaryota; Metazoa; Chordata; Aves; Passeriformes; Paridae. The record is from RNAcentral.
AGGACACGCGUCCCUCAGAGCAGCUGCGGGGAAAAUGGUACUGCUGUACCUCGGCUGUCGCGGUGUGUGUUCCUGGUCUCAGUUGGGUUUUGUGGGGAUUUUUAGUUAAAAUCCCUCCAAACUUAGCGCGCAUCAUUCCGGCCACUGCCUGCCCCACGAGGAGCAAGCAAAAGCGCAAUUAAUUACUUUAAGGUUUCUUUGGGAAGUACAGUAUGUGAAAAAGCCCUCUUUUGAUUGCUGGUGUGUCGGGAAGAGCAGCCGCUCUCCAGGAGCGCGCUUUCCCAGGCAGAUUUUGGGAUGCAGACACUGGGCUGGCAUGCGCAGGAAGGUUCCAGAACAGCGGUGCCGCCUGUUCCCCGGGCAAGGGAGCGCCCCAGAGCACCCACCUCUUCCUAGGGACUGCGCGAGGGGAAUGAGCAAUCAGGCUCAGCACAUCUCGCUGUCACUCGGGAGGGGGGAUGCCAAGGGAAAGCUUGAGCACUGCGUGUUUGGGAUGUGGAGAGCUCGGCUGCCUUCGUGCAGGCGUCGUUUGGUCUUCAACAUGGCUGGCACUGACACAGCUACCUUCCUUCCUGCAUGCGGCUCAGUGCAAUGUGUGACAGUAUCGCCGCUGAAAUGCAGAAUUCUCCGUGGUUUACACUUUCUGUAAAGACAAACAAUUUAAUUUGCAUGUAUCAAAAAGAAAAUGGUGGCUUCUCAUCUCUCGGUGAAGACUGAAUAGAAAACUGAUGUGGUGAUGCCUUAACACUGGGGCACUGUUUCACAGAGAAUAAUGUAUGCGCUGAACUGUCAUCAUAAAAUUAGACAAACUUUUUAAUGAGCAGUGAAUGUUUUAAGAUGCAGUUCCUUUCCCUGCACUUAAUGUCUGAAUGUUAUAAAGGGUGUCUGCCUUAAUAGAACACACUCAGGCUCAUGUGUUGUGGUACAGAUAAAACAGGGAAUAGGCUAGAGACGGGAAAUGUAAGUGUUAUCCAGGAACUGAUUUUUCUUAGGCUUUUGCUGUGGGAUAUUCAAUGAGAUGAAAAAGUAUAAAUGGUAAAUGGUACAUAUUUAUCAUCUGAGCAUUAUUGAUCUAGAUGAAAAGAAAACAAGUAAAAAUCAGCAUUUUAAACAGAACUUAAAAAUGAAUCUCUGAGACUUUGAAACCUGUAAUCAAUGUAAAUUGGAGGGGAGGAGAAGGAAGGGAUUGGGGGAACAGUUGCAG